Molecule: transfer RNA, 90 nt
Filed under: Candidatus Sungbacteria bacterium GWC2_49_10
Lineage: Bacteria; Candidatus Sungiibacteriota
Description: tRNA-Ser
Rfam family: tRNA
About the family: Transfer RNA (tRNA) molecules are approximately 80 nucleotides in length.
Source: RNAcentral
GGAAGGGUGCCAGAGUGGUCUAAUGGACAUGCUUGGAAAGCAUGCGUGGGGGAAACCUCACCGGGAGUUCGAAUCUCCCCCCUUCCGCCA